Long non-coding RNA from Gallus gallus (chicken), 925 nucleotides. Lineage: Eukaryota; Metazoa; Chordata; Aves; Galliformes; Phasianidae. The record is from Ensembl.
CUACCAUAUAAUCUAGGAUUUAGUUUGGACAGAUUUACUUAGUUCUAUUACGGGUAUGAGUAUUCCACGAAAUUCAUCUAUCUUCUCUGAAUGAGCCCCACACUCCUGCAAUGCUUCUUUACUUUCACUAAGGAACUUUACUCUCCUGUAGAGGACGACAACAUGCCAACUUCUGCCCUGAAGAAAUGCAUUCACCAGUUUGAUGUUUCUGUUUGUUUUCAAUGCUUGCUCAAUAUGUAAAGAGAGAAAAAUAAAAACUGUUUGCAGAUCGCAAGACACUCUCUUUUCCCUUUCUGCUCAUCCCAGCUAGACAUCUCGCCUUCAGUGUUAAAGGUGUGGGCCCAUAGGUACUGCCACCCCAUUAGUCACAAAAUCAGGCCAAACCAGCUUGUAAACCAUUGAUGCUAAAAUAUCACCAGAAAAAGCCUUUUGGUAGAAAGACAAGAGAAAGAAGAACAGAAGCAGAAGCUCAGGAGAUCUAUGCAGGUCACUCUGAAAGUAAUGUCUCCUAUUAAUUUCAAUAAAAAUUACAACAAAUAUGAAGAGCACACUAACAGUACUUGAUUGAGCAAAUUCUCAGCUACAAAACAUUAUUUUUCAAUGUAGUCACCACCAUUAGCUGUGCAGUUUUGACAGCUACAAACAAUAUCUUGCAUGCUGUGCUCAUAAACUGUGUUGAUGAAUGUCAAUAGGUGUCAUUUAUUCCAUAUGAAGGAAUUCUGUUCCACACCUUUGCAUGACAGGCACUUCCAUGUCAGACACCAUUUUCCAGACCGCUCCUUUGCUGCCAUCUGUCACAUGGCAAUAAAAUGUGACAGGAUACCUGUGAGGACGUUCAGUCUCUACUACCAUACCACCAGCAUCUGCCUCUGAUGUUGUGGCUGAGCAUGAUAAAAUAGGAGGCAUUACUUUUGCAGAAGCCCUC